AUGAACGCUGGCGGCGUGCCUAAUCCAUGCAAGUCGAGCGAACAGACGAGGAGCUUGCUCCUCUGACGUUAGCGGCGGACGGGUGAGUAACACGUGGAUAACCUACCUAUAAGACUGGGAUAACUUCGGUAAACCGGAGCUAAUACCGGAUAAUAUAUUGAACCGCAUGGUUCAAUAGUGAAAGACGAUUUUGCUGUCACUUAUAGAUGGAUCCGCGCCGCAUUAGCUAGUUGGUAAGGUAACGGCGUACCAAGGCAACGAUGCGUAGCCGACCUGAGAGGGUGAUCGGCCACACUGGAACUGAGACACGGUCCAGACUCCUACGGGAGGCAGCAGUAGGGAAUCUUCCGCAAUGGGCGAAAGCCUGACGGAGCAACGCCGCGUGAGUGAUGAAGGUCUUCGGAUCGUAAAACUCUGUUAUUAGGGAAGAACAAAUGUGUAAGUAACUAUGCACGUCUUGACGGUACCUAAUCAGAAAGCCACGGCUAACUACGUG
RNAcentral lists this ribosomal RNA (496 nucleotides) under uncultured bacterium. Its description in RNAcentral is "partial 16S ribosomal RNA". It matches the Rfam family "Bacterial small subunit ribosomal RNA", at positions 29 to 507 of the family's 1533-position model. The record is from RNAcentral.